This is a small nuclear RNA of Vulpes vulpes (red fox), 102 nucleotides long. The record is from Ensembl. NCBI's taxonomy places the organism in Eukaryota, Metazoa, Chordata, Mammalia, Carnivora, Canidae.
AUGCUUGCUUCGGCAGCACAUAUACUAAUUUUCAAAUGAUAGGGAGAUUAGCAUGCUCCUGCACAGGAUGACACACAAAUUCAUGAAGCGUUCCAUAAAGAG